This 207-nucleotide ribosomal RNA is filed under the name uncultured bacterium. RNAcentral describes it as "partial 16S ribosomal RNA". It matches the Rfam family "Bacterial small subunit ribosomal RNA", at positions 568 to 774 of the family's 1533-position model. The record is from RNAcentral.
CGCGUAGGCGGCUUGGCAAGUCAGAUGUGAAAUCCCCGGGCUUAACUUGGGAAUUGCAUCUGAAACUGUUGAGCUUGAGUCCUGGAGGGGAUAGUGGAAUUCCCAGUGUAGCGGUGAAAUGCGUAGAUAUUGGGAGGAACACCUGUGGCGAAGGCGGCUAUCUGGACAGUGACUGACGCUGAGGCGCGAAAGCUAGGGGAGCGAACG